UUUAGGUGCUAUCAUCAGUUUCCGCAUCCAACCUUGAUCAUUCGUCUUAUUUAAUUUUUUUUUAUAAUUAGUAUUUUUGUUUUCUUAUGAGAUGAUAAAACAUGAAUAAUACUUUACUCGCGACUUAUGUUUUUAUUUUUUUUCAAAUAAAACGGACGGCCAAAGUUGAACGCAGAAAACCAUGUAUGUACUUAAA
Oryza barthii is the source of this 196-nucleotide non-coding RNA. The record is from Rfam. Lineage: Eukaryota; Viridiplantae; Streptophyta; Magnoliopsida; Poales; Poaceae.